Molecule: long non-coding RNA, 470 nt
Filed under: Cicer arietinum (chickpea)
Lineage: Eukaryota; Viridiplantae; Streptophyta; Magnoliopsida; Fabales; Fabaceae
Description: long non-coding RNA (CARI_LNC003337)
Source: RNAcentral
CGAGAUAAAUAUAACUCUAAUUUGUUAAAAUUAAAAAAGAUAAAUCUACAAACAAACUCAAAGUAUUCAAGUUAAUAGCAUAAAUCAACAUAAUGCUUACAAUUAUAACAAACAAAAUGUGAAAUGUCCGAAAUACACAUGUCUUCAGACACGUAAUAUUGAAGAUACACAAAUCAUUGACUGAAUUUAAAUUUAUACUUAAUCGAAAUUACUGUAUCAAUUUAAAUCAAAUAAACACCGCACCAAAAUAAAAAAAUCAAAAGGAAAAACAAAAAUAAAAAAACUUAAAUAUCGUAAAACCUGCUAGAGUUCGAUGGCAACGCCUGUACCAAAUGCUCGAAUUGGACUUAGUAUUUCUCAUUGUUUUGUCAACAAUAUUGAUACUUUCUCUUCAAUUGAUCCAAACAUAGGUGCAUUGCAUUGUGUGGAUCGACAUGACAAUUUCAUAGCACUAAUUCCAGUUGGCAAAG